Felis catus (domestic cat) is the source of this 3079-nucleotide long non-coding RNA. RefSeq lists it as uncharacterized. The transcript has 2 exons. The record is from RefSeq and is a predicted model, not a curated record. NCBI's taxonomy places the organism in Eukaryota, Metazoa, Chordata, Mammalia, Carnivora, Felidae.
GAUGCGGCGCCGGAGUGAGUGCGCAGGCGCGAGCCCGCGGGAGGGUGGGGCGCCUUCGACUGUAAGACCGUGGUGGCUUCUAGCAGCGCUGUCUCACGUUAGGGAGAUUUUGUUUUGAGAAGCUGGGUGGGAACUGCGUGACGACCUUACCCCCGCUACCUCAAGGAAGCCCCUCCUCGUUAGAGCCUGUGGGUGCCUAACUCAGGCGUAAGGGAGAAAGGGGAAGAGAACCUUAAAUAAGUCUCACUUUUCUGGUGUGAAAUAACCAGUCUCUUCCAAAGUUUGUCAGAAGGUAGUAACUUGCCGCAUUCUUAGUGGGCACUACGUGAAUGGUGAUUAAGGUACCCCCAACCCUAGCUCAGUGUCAGGCACUAUGCUAAGUGCUUCAAGAUUAGCACAGUGUAGAAUGCAGCAAAAAUCUCCAGUUAAAUAUAUGGCCAGAGUUGUUUCAGCUGGAACACUGGAGAAAUAGAUGACAUUUGGUAGCUCAAGAGAUCAAUAUGAUAGUGUAGAUUGUAAUAUUUCGUUUUAUAAAGAUAACUGCUAGUUUCUUCUGUCUCUUUCUACUGCUGUGACAAAGACUUGACCAAACUUCAGACAUUUCCCUCUGAGUCCUCUAGGCCACAUCUUUGGGCCCAAUCCCUGUCCUGCAGAGCCCUAGUUUUAGCAAGAAUCCUGCUAAGUCAGUUUAGGUAGAAGCCCCAUUCUUGAUAUAUGAUCAAGUUCCUUAUCCUCUACUUUUGAUGUUUACAUUCUUGUCCUGCCUUUAGCAAGAAUCCUAUUGAGACAGGUUUGCAAGAAUCCCCCAACUUUGCUGUCUCCUUUUGGUAAUUUUCCAUCCAUGAUCCCCUUACUCUACUUGUUGCUGUAAAUCUGCAGCUGUCUUUGCUGUAUUGGGAGUGGAGUUCAAUUUUACUGAAGCCUCUCUCCCCUAUUGCAGUAGUACUGAAUAAAAUAUUUCUUUACUACUUUUAACUAGUGUCUUUAUUUAACUAACUUUAUUUCCUUUGAGAGCAGCCCCAACUAUUGCAAAAUGUUGAAAAAUAUGAAAGUCUUCACGAUUCAUUUAUCCAAGCUAAGUAAGGUAAUGCAUAUAGUACCAAACUAAGUAAAAAAUAUGUCAUUACAGUAUGACAAAUACCUUGAACCAACAGUUUAUCCACCACUACAGGGCAUUCUUACAUUAGCAACUACAUGAACAUAUUCAUCAUAGUUGCUCUGGUAUAGAAAUGGUGCUUGAUAAAACUCAAAACAUAAAGCGUGCAAUUUCCAAACAAGUAGGCAGAGGGUAUGGAACAGGGAAGAGGGAAGACAAAAUAAAUAACAUGACAUGACAUGACAUGACAUGACAUGAACUACAUCCACAAAAAAAAAAAAAAAACUAACAACCCAGAAACAAAAAUUUAGACCAAAUGUACGUAAGGAGAUGGUAGCAAUAAACCUAGGUCUAUCAGUAACUACUAGAUAUGCACAUGGAAUGAACUUUCGAAUUAAAAAUAUUGUAAGACUAGAUUUUUAAAAAUAUAGAUAUCUACUAAAACAAGGAUACACACAUAAGUAGAAAGAUGGAAAAAGAUACACCUGGCAAAUAAUUAAACAAAGAAAAUUCAUGUGGCUACAUUUGGUUAAAUGCAAAAUAACACGUUAAGAAAAAACACUACUAGAAGUAGGAAAAGUAAUUACAUAGCAAUAAAAAGUUAAUUCACCAAGAAAAUAUUAAUAAACUCAUGUAUUUAACGAUGUAGCUUCAAAAUAUAUAAAGCAAAAAUUGACAAGAGAAUUGACAAAUCCAUUACAGAGAUAUUUUUAACUUAUUAUUAUCAGUAACUGAUAGAAAAGCUGAUCCUCAACUCCCCCCAAAAAAGUCACCAAGUAUAUAGAAUUUCUGAACAAAAAUUAAUGUUUGAUUUAAUGUAGAGACAUAUAGAAAUUCCAAAAUUAAUGAAAACACAUUUUUAACACUUUUAUUUUAAAAAAUUACCUCAUGCUAGGCUAUAAAGUAGUCUCAAAAAUUUCAAAGAACUGGUAUCAGAAAAACCACACAAUUUCAUAACAAUGCCAAUUAGACAUUUUUUUAAAAGAUCAGAAACUUCUUUAAAAAUUUAGGUAAAGGUACUAUUUAGAGACUGGGCCAGUCACGCUAACAGAUUCUUUCCUUUACCACACUCUCAUCAGACUCUUCUGAGCUUUUUUAAAAACUGCCCCCUUGUUGCAGCAAGUACAUACAUACCUCCUUAAUACUUGGACCUGAGGCUGCCUUUCCCUUCUCAAAUUGUCAUCCCUAUUUCCUUAACUCAGGGGGAACCCUGCUUUCUGCCUGGAUCCCUUCCUCACUGCAUCCCUUCCAGCUCCAGAAGUUCUGAGCUGGGACAGCCAGGAUGGUUCCUGCCUCCAGACAGCGCCCUGCACUCCUGUCGUUAUGCUUCAUUGUAGUUCAUCGGGCUUUUUACUCAUUUGAUGCUGGAAGGAAGUAUGGAUCUUGUGACUUCAUUACAGACGGAAGGGGAAGCUCAAGAUUCUUUAUUACCUUAAAAUGACAUAUUACUAGCUUCGUUCUUAAAACAUUAGAUUAUUAUUUUCAAUACCGUGAUCUCCCAUAUUUUAACAAAUUCACAGAGAGAAAAUUUCCUUACCCAAUGAGACCAGGUUACUAUAGUUCUCCAGCAUCACGUCCUGGUACAAGUUUCUCUGAGAAGGACCCAGCUUUCUCCACUCCUCCCGCGUAAAGAGCACAGCCACAUCCUCGAACGUCAGUGACACCUGUAAUGACAAGCCAUCCCAGCUCACCCAGGACCUCCCAUCACACAGAGUGAAGAAGGUGGCAGUGGGGGGUAGAUGGGCUCCCAUGAAACGCUUCUGAUGUUAUUCUGGUUUCUGAAGGUUUCAGGUCAUUUGUUUAAUGAACAAUUGGCCAGUGACAAAUAUAUACUGAAGUGUUCAUGAAAGCAUGACUUGUUAACCAGGCCCUGUGUUAAACACUGUAAGGACAUGUGGGGAGGAAUUAAGGACAUUAGUGGGAAUGUUAAUUAGAAUAACAUUUCUGAUGACAAUUUGAUAAUAGAUAUUUAAAGACUUAAAA